Molecule: ribosomal RNA, 469 nt
Filed under: uncultured bacterium
Lineage: Bacteria
Description: partial 16S ribosomal RNA
Rfam family: Bacterial small subunit ribosomal RNA
Source: RNAcentral
GAUGAACGCUGGCGGCGCGCCUAACACAUGCAAGUCGAACGGUUAAAGCACCUUUUAGGUGUGUAUAAAGUGGCGAACGGCUGAGUAACACGUGGGCAACCUGCCCUCCUCUUGGGGAUAGCCUCGGGAAACCGAGGAUAAUACCCGAUACUUCAAUGUGGCCGCAUGACGACAUUGAGAAAGCUUUUGCGGAGAAGGAUGGGCCCGCGGCCUGUUAGCUUGUUGGUGGGGUAGAGGCCUACCAAGGCAAUGAUGGGUAGCUGGGUUGAGAGACCGACCAGCCAGAUUGGGACUGAGACACGGCCCAGACUCCUACGGGAGGCAGCAGUGGGGAAUCUUGCACAAUGGGCGAAAGCCUGAUGCAGCGAUGCCGCGUGCGGGACGAAGGCCUUCGGGUUGUAAACCGCUUUCAGCAGGGACGAGGCGAUAAGUGACGGUACCUGCAGAAGAAGCCCCGGCUAACUACGUG